Molecule: ribosomal RNA, 315 nt
Filed under: Streptococcus agalactiae BSU167
Lineage: Bacteria; Bacillati; Bacillota; Bacilli; Lactobacillales; Streptococcaceae
Description: bacterial SSU rRNA
Rfam family: Bacterial small subunit ribosomal RNA
Source: RNAcentral
UUUAAUGAGAGUUUGAUCCUGGCUCAGGACGAACGCUGGCGGCGUGCCUAAUACAUGCAAGUAGAACGCUGAGGUUUGGUGUUUACACUAGACUGAUGAGUUGCGAACGGGUGAGUAACGCGUAGGUAACCUGCCUCAUAGCGGGGGAUAACUAUUGGAAACGAUAGCUAAUACCGCAUAAGAGUAAUUAACACAUGUUAGUUAUUUAAAAGGAGCAAUUGCUUCACUGUGAGAUGGACCUGCGUUGUAUUAGCUAGUUGGUGAGGUAAAGGCUCACCAAGGCGACGAUACAUAGCCGACCUGAGAGGGUGAUCG